Molecule: ribosomal RNA, 409 nt
Filed under: Bacillus cereus
Lineage: Bacteria; Bacillati; Bacillota; Bacilli; Caryophanales; Bacillaceae
Description: bacterial SSU rRNA
Rfam family: Bacterial small subunit ribosomal RNA
Source: RNAcentral
CGGCCCAGACUCCUACGGGAGGCAGCAGUAGGGAAUCUUCCGCAAUGGACGAAAGUCUGACGGAGCAACGCCGCGUGAGUGAUGAAGGCUUUCGGGUCGUAAAACUCUGUUGUUAGGGAAGAACAAGUGCUAGUUGAAUAAGCUGGCACCUUGACGGUACCUAACCAGAAAGCCACGGCUAACUACGUGCCAGCAGCCGCGGUAAUACGUAGGUGGCAAGCGUUAUCCGGAAUUAUUGGGCGUAAAGCGCGCGCAGGUGGUUUCUUAAGUCUGAUGUGAAAGCCCACGGCUCAACCGUGGAGGGUCAUUGGAAACUGGGAGACUUGAGUGCAGAAGAGGAAAGUGGAAUUCCAUGUGUAGCGGUGAAAUGCGUAGAGAUAUGGAGGAACACCAGUGGCGAAGGCGACUU